This is a long non-coding RNA of Callorhinus ursinus (northern fur seal), 413 nucleotides long. RefSeq lists it as uncharacterized. The record is from RefSeq and is a predicted model, not a curated record. Lineage: Eukaryota; Metazoa; Chordata; Mammalia; Carnivora; Otariidae.
GAAAGUCAACUUCUAGUGCUAUUGGAGGACUGAAGUAUUCUAAAGAGCAAUGCCUCAACCAAGAGAAAAGUUCAAGAUAAGUUAAGGAGUAUGACCCCAUAUUUGACUGUGGCUCAGCUCCUCAUAUCUGCCAUAUAGAAAUGAGAAAAAAGGUGGGGAGGGGCCUGUGCUGAGAUUUCCUUUGCCUCCCCCUAUUCAGAUGACAGAAGCUAUCACAUGUGGGCCUUGUCUUCACGGAUCCCGGGACUCAGUUGCUGAGAUAAAAGCUAACCCACAGGAAACACCAGCGAACUGGAAGAAGAUGCUAUCUCACAAGAUGCUGUAGUAGACAGGAGAGCAAUGAGCAUCAUGAAGAUAAAGAUACGAUCGUCAAGGAACUCACAAUGUAACAUGGGAGAAAGAUACGCAGGCAA